Oncorhynchus tshawytscha (Chinook salmon) is the source of this 1055-nucleotide long non-coding RNA. NCBI's taxonomy places the organism in Eukaryota, Metazoa, Chordata, Actinopteri, Salmoniformes, Salmonidae. The record is from Ensembl.
AAAAUGAGAGAAUACACACAGAGGAGAAGCCUUAUCACUGCUCUCAGUGUGGCAAGUGUUUUAAUCAGUUAGGGAACCUGAAACAGCAUGAGAGAAUACACACGGAGAAGCCUUUUCACUGCUCCCAGUGUGGAAAGUGUUUCAACCGGUCAGUGAAGCUGAAACGGCAUGAGAGAAUUCACAAAAGAAUUCACAAAGGGGAGAAGCCUUACCACUGCUCCCAGUGUGGCAAGUGUUUUAAGCAGUUCGGGAAACUGAAACAACAUGAGAGAAUACACACAGGGGAGAAGCCUUACCACUGCUCCCAGUGUGGCAAGUGUUUUACUCAGUUAGGGAACCUGAAACGGCAUGAGAGAAUACACACGGGAGAUGCCUUACCAUUGCUCCCUGUGUGGAAAGUGUUUCAACCAGUUAGGGCACCUGAAACAACAUGAGAGAAUACACACAUGGGAGAACCCUCACCACUGCUCCCAGUGUGGAAAGAGUUUUAACCAUUUAUGGAACCUGAACGUUCAUGAGCUAAUACACACAGUUAAAUGUCUUUCGAGAAUCCACACAGGAGAGAGAAAUUACUUCUCUUAGCACGUAUAUUGAUAUUUCACAUCUCAUUCUCAUUGCAAUUCAUCAGAGAACAAACACAGUGCUCCCGUUGUCUUAUAUUGUUGACUGAUAAUGUGUUUACCUGUUUUUACCAGAUGAAAUUGCUUCUUCCAAUUAUUGAUAAACAUGUACCUGUUAAGAAAGGGACUGUUAGAACUGUUCCAUGGAUUGAUGAGGAAUUUAAAAACUGUAUGUUUGAAAGAGAUGGGGCAAAAGGAGUGGCGAAUAAGUCUGGAUGCACAUCUGGCUGGCUUACAUACUGCAAAUUGAGAAAUGAUGUGACCAAACUCAACAAACAUGAUAAACUUCAUUAGGAAGCCAAGAUCAAUGAUAUAAAGAAUGAUGAAAAAAAUGUAAAUAAACAAUUAAAGAAAAGCAGUGCAAGUAUUGAAUUUUGUGAAGUUAGUGUGGGAGAGGUGGAAAAAUUGUGGUUAUCGAUCAAUAAUGACAAACCU